This 440-nucleotide ribosomal RNA is filed under the name uncultured bacterium. Its description in RNAcentral is "partial 16S ribosomal RNA". It matches the Rfam family "Bacterial small subunit ribosomal RNA", at positions 338 to 795 of the family's 1533-position model. The record is from RNAcentral.
CCUACGGGCGGCAGCAGUAGGGAAUAUUGCUCAAUGGGGGAAACCCUGAAGCAGCAACGCCGCGUGGAGGAUGAAGGUUUUCGGAUUGUAAACUCCUUUUGUUAGAGAAGAUAAUGACGGUAUCUAACGAAUAAGCACCGGCUAACUCCGUGCCAGCAGCCGCGGUAAUACGGAGGGUGCAAGCGUUACUCGGAAUCACUGGGCGGAAAGAGCGCGUAGGCGGGAUAGCAAGUCAGAUGUGAAAUCCUAUGGCUUAACCAUAGAACUGCAUUUGAAACUGUUAUUCUAGAGUAUGGGAGAGGUAGGUGGAAUUCUUGGUGGAGGGGUAAAAUCCGUAGAGAUCAAGAGGAAUACUCAUUGCGAAGGCGACCUGCUAGAACAUAACUGACGCUGAUGCGCGAAAGCGUGGGGAGCAAACAGGAUUAGAUACCCCAGUAGUC